RNAcentral lists this unclassified non-coding RNA (253 nucleotides) under uncultured Halomonadaceae bacterium. Its description in RNAcentral is "contains 16S-23S intergenic spacer region". It matches the Rfam family "Bacterial small subunit ribosomal RNA", at positions 524 to 776 of the family's 1533-position model. The record is from RNAcentral. Lineage: Bacteria; Pseudomonadati; Pseudomonadota; Gammaproteobacteria; Oceanospirillales; Halomonadaceae.
UACGUAGGGGGCAAGCGUUGUCCGGAAUUAUUGGGCGUAAAGCGCGCGCAGGCGGCCUCUUAAGUCUGAUGUGAAAGCCCCGGGCUCAACCUGGGAACGGCAUCCGGAACUGGCAAGCUAGAGUGCAGGAGAGGAAGGUAGAAUUCCCGGUGUAGCGGUGAAAUGCGUAGAGAUCGGGAGGAAUACCAGUGGCGAAGGCGGCCUUCUGGACUGAUACUGACGCUGAGGUGCGAAGACGUGGGGAGCAAGCAUG